AUUGAACGCUGGCGGCAUGCCUUACACAUGCAAGUCGAACGGCAGCACGGGUGCUUGCACCUGGUGGCGAGUGGCGAACGGGUGAGUAAUACAUCGGCACAUGUCCUGUAGUGGGGGAUAGCCCGGCGAAAGCCGGAUUAAUACUGCAUACGAUCUACGGAUGAAAGCGGGGGCCCUUCGGGCCUCGCCCUUUAGGGUUGGCCGAUGGCUGAUUAGCUAGUUGGUGGGGUAAAGGCCUACCAAGGCGACGAUCAGUAGCUGGUCUGAGAGGACGACCAGCCACACUGGGACUGAGACACGGCCCAGACUCCUACGGGAGGCAGCAGUGGGGAAUUUUGGACAAUGGGCGAAAGCCUGAUCCAGCAAUGCCGCGUGUGUGAAGAAGGCCUUCGGGUUGUAAAGCACUUUUGUCCGGAAAGAAAACCUUGGCUCUAAUACAGUCGGGGGAUGACGGUACCGGAAGAAUAAGCACCGGCUAACUACGUG
This 486-nucleotide ribosomal RNA is filed under the name uncultured bacterium. RNAcentral describes it as "partial 16S ribosomal RNA". It matches the Rfam family "Bacterial small subunit ribosomal RNA", at positions 30 to 507 of the family's 1533-position model. The record is from RNAcentral.